AAUCCAUAGGUUAAUGAGGCGAACCGGGGGAACUGAAACAUCUAAGUACCCCGAGGAAAAGAAAUCAACCGAGAUUCCCCCAGUAGCGGCGAGCGAACGGGGAGGAGCCCAGAGCCUGAAUCAGCAUGUGUGUUAGUGGAAGCGUCUGGAAAGGCGCGCGAUACAGGGUGACAGCCCCGUACACAAAAGCGCAUGUGCUGUGAGCUCGAUGAGUAGGGCGGGACACGUGGUAUCCUGUCUGAAUAUGGGGGGACCAUCCUCCAAGGCUAAAUACUCCUGACUGACCGAUAGUGAACCAGUACCGUGAGGGAAAGGCGAAAAGAACCCCGGCGAGGGGAGUGAAAAAGAACCUGAAACCGUGUACGUACAAGCAGUGGGAGCCCCACCACUAAGCCAGUGGUGAACUCCACAUACGCAUCCUUUGCUGAGGAUACGGUUAACGGAGCGAAAGCGACGUUCAACCGCAAAACAAGCAGAGGGGGCUUAGUGGUGGGGUGACUGCGUACCUUUUGUAUAAUGGGUCAGCGACUUAUAUUCUGUAGCAAGGUUAACCGUAUAGGGGAGCCGGAGGGAAACCGAGUCUUAACCGGGCGUUAAGUUGCAGGGUAUAGACCCGAAACCCGGUGAUCUAGCCAUGGGCAGGUUGAAGGUUGGGUAACACUAACUGGAGGACCGAACCGACUAAUGUUGAAAAAUUAGCGGAUGACCUGUGGCUGGGGGUGAAAGGCCAAUCAAACCGGGAGAUAGCUGGUUCUCCCCGAAAGCUAUUUAGGUAGCGCCUCGUGAAUUCAUCUCCGGGGGUAGAGCACUGUUUCGGCUAGGGGGCCAUCCCGGCUUACCAACCCGAUGCAAACUGCGAAUACCGGAGAAUGUUAUCACGGGAGACACACGGCGGGUGCUAACGUCCGUCGUGAAGAGGGAAACAACCCAGACCGCCAGCUAAGGUCCCAAAGUCAUGGUUAAGUGGGAAACGAUGUGGGAAGGCCCAGACAGCCAGGAUGUUGGCUUAGAAGCAGCCAUCAUUUAAAGAAAGCGUAAUAGCUCACUGGUCGAGUCGGCCUGCGCGGAAGAUGUAACGGGGCUAAACCAUGCACCGAAGCUGCGGCAGCGACACUCAGGUGUUGUUGGGUAGGGGAGCGUUCUGUAAGCCUGUGAAGGUGUGUCGUGAGGCAUGCUGGAGGUAUCAGAAGUGCGAAUGCUGACAUAAGUAACGAUAAAGCGGGUGAAAAGCCCGCUCGCCGGAAGACCAAGGGUUCCUGUCCAACGUUAAUCGGGGCAGGGUGAGUCGACCCCUAAGGCGAGGCCGAAAGGCGUAGUCGAUGGGAAACGGGUUAAUAUUCCCGUACUUGGUGUUACUGCGAAGGGGGGACGGAGAAGGCUAUGUUGGCCGGGCGACGGUUGUCCCGGUUUAAGCGUGUAGGUGUGUGUUCCAGGUAAAUCCGGUUCACUUUAACACUGAGGCGUGAUGACGAGGCACUACGGUGCUGAAGCAACAAAUGCCCUGCUUCCAGGAAAAGCCUCUAAGCAUCAGGUAACAUCAAAUCGUACCCCAAACCGACACAGGUGGUCAGGUAGAGAAUACCAAGGCGCUUGAGAGAACUCGGGUGAAGGAACUAGGCAAAAUGGUGCCGUAACUUCGGGAGAAGGCACGCUGACACGUAGGUGAAGUGAUUUACUCAUGGAGCUGAAGUCAGUCGAAGAUACCAGCUGGCUGCAACUGUUUAUUAAAAACACAGCACUGUGCAAACACGAAAGUGGACGUAUACGGUGUGACGCCUGCCCGGUGCCGGAAGGUUAAUUGAUGGGGUCAGCGCAAGCGAAGCUCCUGAUCGAAGCCCCGGUAAACGGCGGCCGUAACUAUAACGGUCCUAAGGUAGCGAAAUUCCUUGUCGGGUAAGUUCCGACCUGCACGAAUGGCGUAAUGAUGGCCAGGCUGUCUCCACCCGAGACUCAGUGAAAUUGAACUCGCUGUGAAGAUGCAGUGUACCCGCGGCAAGACGGAAAGACCCCGUGAACCUUUACUAUAGCUUGACACUGAACAUUGAGCCUUGAUGUGUAGGAUAGGUGGGAGGCUUUGAAGCGUGGACGCCAGUCUGCGUGGAGCCGACCUUGAAAUACCACCCUUUAAUGUUUGAUGUUCUAACGUGGACCCGUGAUCCGGGUUGCGGACAGUGUCUGGUGGGUAGUUUGACUGGGGCGGUCUCCUCCUAAAGAGUAACGGAGGAGCACGAAGGUUGGCUAAUCCUGGUCGGACAUCAGGAGGUUAGUGCAAUGGCAUAAGCCAGCUUGACUGCGAGCGUGACGGCGCGAGCAGGUGCGAAAGCAGGUCAUAGUGAUCCGGUGGUUCUGAAUGGAAGGGCCAUCGCUCAACGGAUAAAAGGUACUCCGGGGAUAACAGGCUGAUACCGCCCAAGAGUUCAUAUCGACGGCGGUGUUUGGCACCUCGAUGUCGGCUCAUCACAUCCUGGGGCUGAAGUAGGUCCCAAGGGUAUGGCUGUUCGCCAUUUAAAGUGGUACGCGAGCUGGGUUUAGAACGUCGUGAGACAGUUCGGUCCCUAUCUGCCGUGGGCGCUGGAGAACUGAGGGGGGCUGCUCCUAGUACGAGAGGACCGGAGUGGACGCAUCACUGGUGUUCGGGUUGUCAUGCCAAUGGCACUGCCCGGUAGCUAAAUGCGGAAGAGAUAAGUGCUGAAAGCAUCUAAGCACGAAACUUGCCCCGAGAUGAGUUCUCCCUGAGACUUAGAGUCUCCUGAAGGAACGUUGAAGACGACGACGUUGAUA
RNAcentral lists this ribosomal RNA (2781 nucleotides) under Salmonella enterica subsp. enterica serovar Thompson. Its description in RNAcentral is "partial 23S ribosomal RNA". It matches the Rfam family "Bacterial large subunit ribosomal RNA". The record is from RNAcentral. Lineage: Bacteria; Pseudomonadati; Pseudomonadota; Gammaproteobacteria; Enterobacterales; Enterobacteriaceae.